This is a long non-coding RNA of Lycium ferocissimum, 1966 nucleotides long. RefSeq lists it as uncharacterized. The record is from RefSeq and is a predicted model, not a curated record. The transcript is spliced from 2 exons. NCBI's taxonomy places the organism in Eukaryota, Viridiplantae, Streptophyta, Magnoliopsida, Solanales, Solanaceae.
UUAGGGUGAUUUUCACUGAUUUCAUGUUUAGUUUCGACAUGCUGAAACCAUUGAACUUAAGUAGAUAUUUGAUUGUGUAUUUAAGUUAUAUAUGCUCAUGUACAAGCUAAGAGGAAUUGUUUGACGAAGUGGACUUUGGUUGGUCUAUGGGUAGACGAUUUGAACUCCUCGAGUUGUGGUAGAACUUGUUGUGCGGUAAAACACCAAGGUUUGUGUAUAAAAUUGAACUUGGAAUAUCUUUAUUUUCUGGAAGUUUUGAAGUAUCUUGAUUGGUUGUUUCCUUACUCUUCAUCUUAUAUCAUUGUAUGGCUAUUAUCUCAAGUAUUGCAAAACAUUCGCUAAAUCGCCCACUUGUACGAAUUGCUUGAUCAUUUUGCAUUCUUGUUGGGACUUUGUCCUUCUUGUUACAGUGACUUUGUCAUCGAUAUCGGCACGCCUCUUGAUUCGGAUCUUGCCCAUCUUGAUUUUGGAUUUACAUUUCGUCUUGAUGAUGGACUUUUAUCCAUUCUCGAGUAUGAGUGGAAAGCCACUUUAAACAUGGCUCUUGAUUCUCUUGAUUAUUGGGUGACGACCCUUCUUGAUUUGGGGCUUCGGUCCAUCUUGAAAUUGAUUGUGCUUGGUGUGAUGGCAUGACGUACAUAUUGGGCGAAAUUGGUUAUUUGACAAACUCUCUUGAAUUGAUAUAUAAGCUUUCUUGACACUUGAGCCUUCAAAUAUUGAUUUCGACAUUUGGAAACUCUUCAAGGUUUGAUAUUUGAUACUUUGAUAUACUUGAUUUAUUAUUAUCUUAUUGAGCUACCUAGGACAGAUAAGGGAAUUGGAAAAUCUAAUGGCUCCAAGCCCAAAGUUUAUACACCACUAAGCUUUAUGCUUAGCGAUAGUUGUUUUCUAUCGUAGGUAAUGUACAGGAAGAGAUUUGAAGAUGGCCAUUUGGAGUAGACUUUUUGGGAGCCUUAGUGAAGAUCAAAUUUGUAUAUGCAUCUAGGUCUUGUAAAAUUUUGGGGACUUGUACAUGAUCCAUAUGUAACACUUAUGUAUGAAAUUUUGGAGGCUUGUUGGACACAAGACCAUAUGCUUGUAACUUGAACUUGGUGACUUGUUUUGCUGUUUUAGGGUGUGCUUUCAACGCAAGUCAUGGCAUGUACUGGGUUUAUAUUUUGCCUUGUAAUUAUGUACAAAGGAAGAUACUAGUUUUCUGUGAUAAUCGCAAGUUUGGGUUUCGUGUAUCUUAUGGACCUGCAGUGGUGUUGAUUUGAAAAUAUGAUUUUAAAACGAAGUUUCUUAAAUGUAUUGACUAUUUGAGGAGGGCGUUACCAUUUUAAAUUGAUACUCUGAUAUUGUAUUUCAUCUAAGAAAUUUUUCAGAGGGUAUAAUAGAAAAAAAAAUGUCGCACAUUCAACCCUUUUUCGCAUGGGCCUAUUUCCGCUAUUAUAUAUUUUGUGAAUAUCUUUUGGCAUAAAUUUCUUCUAAAUGUUUUAAGUAUUAAAUUAGCUUUUGUUUCGUAAGUGGUAUCCUCCCAAAGGGGAUGCUACAAUCAAAGUGAGAAUCAAGUGCUAAAAGUUUUCAAAGUAUUGUUGAAGCUUGUUCUCCUUCUUGUAGAAGCUUUGGAGGAUACUUCAAAGUGAUGUAAUCUUGGAAUUGAAGUGUUCCUGAGCUCUUGAGGAUUGGGGCUUUAGUUGUGAUAAGCUCGUUGUUGGAUUUUGGACGACUUGAGGUAUGUUAAGGGUAACUUUCUUUCUUUUGGCAUGAUCCUUAUGAACGGAACGUAAACGUAACGUUACUCCAUAAUGAAUCCAUUCUUAGCAGCCACGGAUGUCCAUGUUGAUUCAUGAUCUGGAAUUUUAUUUCCAGUAAGUCCUUAUUCAGAUUCAGAGUGAUUCAUAGAGUCAUUUGUUAACGAAAAUGCUGUCACAUAACGAUGUUCAAAGCUAUAACGACCUUAUGUCACUCCGACAGAUUCAGGAUA